This 427-nucleotide ribosomal RNA is filed under the name uncultured bacterium. Its description in RNAcentral is "partial 16S ribosomal RNA". It matches the Rfam family "Bacterial small subunit ribosomal RNA", at positions 354 to 796 of the family's 1533-position model. The record is from RNAcentral.
GUGAGGAAUAUUGGACAAUGGGCGCAAGCCUGAUCCAGCCAUGCCGCGUGCAGGAAGACGCAUCUAUGGUGUGUAAACUGCUUUUGUCAGGGACGAAUAAUGACGGUACCUGGCGAAUAAGCCACGGCUAACUACGUGCCAGCAGCCGCGGUAAUACGUAGGUGGCAAGCGUUGUCCGGAUUUACUGGGUGUAAAGGGCGAGUAGGCGGAUUUGCAAGUCAGGUGUGAAAGCCCGGGGCUUAACCCCGGGUCUGCAUUUGAAACUGCGGAUCUUGAGUAUCGGAGAGGCAGGCGGAAUUCCCGGUGUAGCGGUGGAAUGCGUAGAUAUCGGGAGGAACACCAGUGGCGAAGGCGGCCUGCUGGACGACAACUGACGCUGAGGAGCGAAAGCGUGGGGAGCAAACAGGAUUAGAAACCCGAGUAGUCC